Molecule: transfer RNA, 67 nt
Filed under: Marmota monax (woodchuck)
Lineage: Eukaryota; Metazoa; Chordata; Mammalia; Rodentia; Sciuridae
Description: tRNA.Ala
Rfam family: tRNA
About the family: Transfer RNA (tRNA) molecules are approximately 80 nucleotides in length.
Source: RNAcentral
GGUUGUGGCUCAGCGGUAGAGCGCUCACCUAGCACAUGUGAGGCCCUGGGUUCAAUCCUCAGCACCA